AACGCGAAGAACCUUACCAGGGCUUGACAUCCUCUGUAAAAUGCAGAAAUGCAUUCCCCAUGGCAACAUGGCAGGGUGACAGGUGCUGCAUGGCUGUCGUCAGCUCGUGUCGUGAGAUGUUGGGUUAAGUCCCGCAACGAGCGCAACCCUCGUCGAGUGUUGCCAUCAUUUAGUUGGGCACUCACUCGAGACCGCCGUUGAUAAGACGGAGGAAGGUGGGGAUGACGUCAAGUCCGCAUGGCCCUUACGUCCUGGGCUACACACGUGCUACAAUGGCCGGUACAACGGGCAGCUAGUCCGCGAGGACAAGCUAAUCCCUUAAAACCGGUCUCAGUUCGGAUUGAAGGCUGCAACUCGCCUUCAUGAAGUCGGAAUCGCUAGUAACUGCAGAUCAGCUACGCUGCGGUGAAUACGUUCCCGGGCUUGUA
This 428-nucleotide ribosomal RNA is filed under the name uncultured bacterium. RNAcentral's name for it is "bacterial SSU rRNA". It matches the Rfam family "Bacterial small subunit ribosomal RNA", at positions 958 to 1381 of the family's 1533-position model. The record is from RNAcentral.